AAAAAUAAAAAAGUCGAACAGACUCAAACAGUAAUAAUCUACCCCUACUGCUAAUUUUAAUCCAACAUCGAGGUCGCAAACUAUUUCAUCGAUAAGAACUCUACAAAAUAAUAACG
RNAcentral lists this ribosomal RNA (116 nucleotides) under Nesidiocoris tenuis. RNAcentral's name for it is "partial 16S ribosomal RNA". The record is from RNAcentral. Lineage: Eukaryota; Metazoa; Arthropoda; Insecta; Hemiptera; Miridae.